Molecule: ribosomal RNA, 253 nt
Filed under: uncultured bacterium
Lineage: Bacteria
Description: partial 16S ribosomal RNA
Rfam family: Bacterial small subunit ribosomal RNA
Source: RNAcentral
UACGGGGGGAGCAAGCGUUGUUCGGAUUUACUGGGCGUAAAGGGCGCGUAGGCGGCGUGACAAGUCACUUGUGAAAUCUCGGGGCUUAACUCCGAAACUGCAUUCGAUACUGCCGUGCUUGAGGACUGGAGAGGAGACUGGAAUUUACGGUGUAGCGGUGAAAUGCGUAGAUAUCGUAAGGAAGACCAGUGGCGAAGGCGGGUCUCUGGACAGUUCCUGACGCUGAGGCACGAAGGCCAGGGGAGCAAACGGG